ACAUGUCAACUUUAUCCUGCAGGUGGCAGGGGAGGAUAUGGUUGCCAGUCUCUCUGGGGACAUAUUCUUAUAGCUCUUGGCAAGAAAAGAAAAAGGAACCCAAGAAGAACUAUGAUUGGACUGACUUACAGGACACAGCUGUCCUGACCCAGCACUGUGGCCAGCUGCAUGAGACCACAUGAGGCUGGUAUGGUGGCUUCAUAUUCAUCAGACUCUGUGGCUCAUGUUGCUCUCUAUCCUCCACACAAGGUUUCCAUCUGAUAAUCUAAGGUAGUUGCCCUAGCAUGAGUUUUCCUGG
Molecule: long non-coding RNA, 298 nt
Filed under: Vulpes vulpes (red fox)
Lineage: Eukaryota; Metazoa; Chordata; Mammalia; Carnivora; Canidae
Description: lncRNA (ENSVVUG00000000880.1)
Source: RNAcentral